Pantherophis guttatus is the source of this 1278-nucleotide non-coding RNA. NCBI's taxonomy places the organism in Eukaryota, Metazoa, Chordata, Lepidosauria, Squamata, Colubridae. The record is from RefSeq and is a predicted model, not a curated record.
ACUUCUUUCCUUUAGAAAGCAUAUCAAUGUAAUAUCUAUGAAAGUGCCUCAUGUGAUUAGAUCCUUAUUUGUUUAACAGUUUAACAAACAAAAAUACAAAGGCCUGGGAAAUGUCUUCUGUGACAAAAUAUUGAUUCACUAUAUUGGUAUUUUUAGAAGAAUAUUCUAUUGUAAUGCUACUUUCAUAUCUUUUUAAAAGUUGCAUUCAGGUAAUCCUCGACUAAUAACCAUUCAUUUAGUGAUUAUUCUAAGUUACAGUGGUACAGAAAAAGUGACUGUUAGGACUGUUUUUCACAGUUAUGACCAUAGCAUCAUCCCCAUAGUCAUGUGAUCAGAAUUGGGCACUUGGCAAUUAGCAUGUAUUUAUGAUAGCUGCAGCUUCUUGGUGUCAUGCGAGCACCAUUUGUAACAGUGGUGGUUUGGACCGGUUCUAUAGAACCGAUAGUAAAACCGGAGGGAGACUCCGCCCACUGACCCUGAUGUCAUCAGUACGCUUCUGCGCAUGCGUGGCCCCGUUGCAAACCGAUAGUAAAAAAAUAGCCCACCCUUCUUGCUCCAACAGAAGGGACAUUGCUGCCCAUCUUAUAUUCAAAGAACUUUGUCUGGCAGGAUCCAGGAAAAGACCCUUUUCUGCAAUGGCUCCUGCUCUCAGGAACAUUGUGCUGAUGGAGGUAUUCAUCUAAAUCUGAGGGAGAAGUUUUACAGACAAGGACUUAUAUACCCGGAGGAAGGAGUCAAAGGUAGUCUCACAUCCCUUUUCAAAAAUAGCUGAGGUGUUUCCCUCUGAGGAUCCAGGUUUGUUAAUUCAGUGAAAAUUUCGGGCCAGUCGUGAACAUGUUGGAGAGGCUUAUGGUACGGCUUCAGCUGGAGACCUAUACAACAACAGCUCUAUUUAAAGGAUUUUUCCAGCCUCUACAAUCAUUCAAACUGAAGCUUAAAUGCAGCGGUGAAAUCCACUUACCUUCGCUACCAGUUUGGGAAUGGGAGUGUGUGCGCAAUUCUUCCGCACAUGUGCAGAACCUUCUGCACAUGCACAGAUGAUAUUCAACGGUGUUCUUCCUUGUUGAUCAGUGAUGUGCUACAAACAGAAAUAAGACAACUUAAAAAUACAGUUUUGCAAAUAUAAAAUCAAAUUGUACUUUCCUUUUAGUGAGACCUGAGUUUAUCUACCCCAGUAAUUUUUACAUAUAUUUUUACACCAAUGUUAUUUAAUAAUUUUUAAAAACUUGUUGAAAUCUCACAAAAUAUUCUCAAAAACUAAAUUUUCAUGAGAUUUUG